RNAcentral lists this ribosomal RNA (253 nucleotides) under uncultured bacterium. Its description in RNAcentral is "partial 16S ribosomal RNA". It matches the Rfam family "Bacterial small subunit ribosomal RNA", at positions 524 to 776 of the family's 1533-position model. The record is from RNAcentral.
UACGAAGGGGGCUAGCGUUGCUCGGAAUCACUGGGCGUAAAGCGCACGUAGGCGGAUCGUUAAGUCGGGGGUGAAAUCCUGGAGCUCAACUCCAGAACUGCCUUCGAUACUGAGGAUCUCGAGUCCGGGAGAGGUGAGUGGAACUGCUAGUGUAGAGGUGAAAUUCGUAGAUAUUCGCAAGAACACCAGUGGCGAAGGCGGCUCACUGGCCCGAUACUGACGCUGAGGCGCGAAAGCGUGGGGAGCAAACAGG